UAUUAAAAAUUUCAUUUAUUCUACUGGUAAAAAUUAGCAUGACUAAUAGAAUAACAAAAAAGUGACAUGUGGUGUGCCUUGUGUACCUCAUCAGGAACCAAUUUUAAUAGAAGAAAUGGAUGGAUUUUUUUAACA
This is a non-coding RNA of Gossypium raimondii (Peruvian cotton), 135 nucleotides long. The record is from Rfam. NCBI's taxonomy places the organism in Eukaryota, Viridiplantae, Streptophyta, Magnoliopsida, Malvales, Malvaceae.